CGGGGUCCAUGCAAUGCGCUAUACCUGACCAGCCAUGCCGCGUGAGGAUGACGGCCUUCUGGGUUGUAAACUCCUUUUAUAUGGGGGUAAACUUACGCACGUGUGACUUGCUGAAGGUACCAUAUGAAUAAGGACCGGCUAACUCCGUGCCAGCAGCCGCGGUAAUAAUUAA
Molecule: ribosomal RNA, 172 nt
Filed under: uncultured bacterium
Lineage: Bacteria
Description: partial 16S ribosomal RNA
Rfam family: Bacterial small subunit ribosomal RNA
Source: RNAcentral